Non-coding RNA from Ictidomys tridecemlineatus (thirteen-lined ground squirrel), 1130 nucleotides. The record is from RefSeq and is a predicted model, not a curated record. Lineage: Eukaryota; Metazoa; Chordata; Mammalia; Rodentia; Sciuridae.
ACAAAACACCACCCUGAACCAAGGGCCCUGCCCUCAUUUCCUUAUAAGGGAACAAGCCAAGCUGAACCAAGGGCCCCACCCUGAUCUCAUCAUAAGGACACAAACCACACUGAACCAAGGGCCAGCAGAAACAUCAAAGUCCUGCACAUGUCAAAACUUCUCUGGAUCCUCAUUGCUCUCAAACUCUACCACCUCGUCUGGAUCUUGAUGAGAGCUGCAACUUCUCCCUACGACCCUCUCCUCAACCAGUUGUCCACUCCACGCCAGGAAAAACCUGCCUUGGUUCUGGACCUGUUCACUGUGAUCUGAGUACCAGAGAUAUCAGGUAACAAUAAUCAAGGGACAUCAUCAAGUAUAGAAGCUCCAAAAGAAGUCUAUCUGGGCUCAAAUCUUACCUAUACCACUCUUUCACAGGGUGCCUUGUGAGGAGAAGAUUGCUACUGAACCCCCAGGUGGCAGAGUGAGCUUGGACUGAAGAACAGGUGCCUCUUCCAUUGUCAUAGAGAGAGUGAAGCAGUCCCGGGUGUGAGUCAGGAAAUUAGGAGACAAGGAAAUGGAAGCUUUAUCUGACAAAGAAGAAAUGCAGGGAUAACUGGGGGACUCAACAGCAUCACAUCUGGGUCAACACAGUGCAGUCUGAAAAUAUGCAGAAGCUGUACAUGAGUGGAAGUGGCUACAAACAUGAGAACUCCAGGAGUUUAAAGUGCACUCAAGCAGGCCUAGAACUUCCACAGAGUGUGUACUUCAAGAGUUUGGACCAAUUGUGAAGAUACCAAGAAUGACAGUGUGGAAAGUUCCCAACUGACAUCUAGGUUGUGAAAAGCAAUGAACUUUUAGUUGAAGAACUGGAACUAGAAAGGGAUGCCUUUUUGAAUGAAUGCUUUUGGUGGAAGGACUUUUUUCUCUAUGUCACCUACUCAUCUGACCAAAGUUGGACCCCCUGGCCUCUGAGUUGUUAUUCUAAGCCUCUGGACCUAAGAUAUCUAAAGAAUGGUCUUACAGAGCCAGCUGUAAUUGGUUAUGCAGGAAGAGACCAUGGAAGACUUUAUACCAUGAGCACAACUUCAACGGCUCCAUCAUUUUCCUCCCUCAGUUAAAAGACUUUCACUUCCAAUAUUAUGGUGAAGUUC